CAAGGUUUCCGUAGGUGAACCUGCGGAAGGAUCAUUAAUGAAUGCAAAUGGCGAAGGGGGGAGGAGCAUGGGAAUGCUGUCGCUGGUCUGUAGUACUAGAGGAGAGGCAUGUUCUCGCUCAUUUCGUGGAAGUAAACGUCGUAACAAAUCAUCUGUCACCGAUCUCUGUGCAAAUUAAGGAAGUAAAAAGUCGUAACAAGGUCUCCGUUGGUGAACCAGCGGAGGGAUCAUUACAGAGUUGCAAAACUCCCACAAACCAUCGCGAAUCUUACCCGUACGGUUGCCUCGGCGCUGGCGGUCCGGAAAGGCCCUCGGGUCCUCCCGGAUCCUCGGGUCUCCCGCUCGCGGGAGGCUGCCCGCCGGAGUGCCGAAACUAAACUCUUGAUAUUUUAUGUCUCUUUGAGUAAACUUUUAAAUAAGUCAAAACUUUCAACAACGGAUCUCUUGGUUCUGGCAUCGAUGAAGAACGCAGCGAAAUGCGAUAAGUAAUGUGAAUUGCAGAAUUCAGUGAAUCAUCGAAUCUUUGAACGCACAUUGCGCUCGCCAGUAUUCUGGCGAGCAUGCCUGUUCGAGCGUCAUUUCAACCAUCAAGCUCUGCUUGCGUUGGGGAUCCGCGGCUGCCCGCGGUCCCUCAAAAUCAGUGGCGGGCUCGCUAGUCACACCGAGCGUAGUAACUCUACAUCGCUAUGGUCGUGCGGCGGGUUCUUGCCGUAAAA
RNAcentral lists this small RNA (716 nucleotides) under uncultured Neurospora. Its description in RNAcentral is "eukaryotic LSU rRNA". The stretch from base 425 to 578 matches the Rfam family "5.8S ribosomal RNA". Lineage: Eukaryota; Fungi; Ascomycota; Sordariomycetes; Sordariales; Sordariaceae. The record is from RNAcentral.